Molecule: long non-coding RNA, 341 nt
Organism: Pogonomyrmex barbatus (red harvester ant)
Lineage: Eukaryota; Metazoa; Arthropoda; Insecta; Hymenoptera; Formicidae
Source: RefSeq, a predicted model, not a curated record
UUAUGGGAUCAAUCGAUUAAUCCUCAACCGACGUUCUACAGCUCUACAGAUACCCGAAGUUGUGUGGAUCCACAUUGUUGCUUCGACAUCGAUCGAGAGGAAACGCUUCUCGAUGCCAUGGAUCGCCAUCAAGCCUGAUUAUGCCGAGUGCACAAAUCACGAUGUAACGUGCCGAUCUCUUCGGGGCCCCCCAUCGUAUUUUUCGUCGACGUAAUGCCCGAUGACAGCCGUGGCAGUUAAACGUGCAUCAUCGGCGUAUAUCGACGCGGAUGCCUCGUUGCCUCUGUAUCUAACUUCACCGCUGGACGAUAAGGCUUCUUAUUAAAUAUCCCAUAAAGAGU